Haliotis rubra (blacklip abalone) is the source of this 154-nucleotide long non-coding RNA. RefSeq lists it as uncharacterized. The transcript has 4 exons. Lineage: Eukaryota; Metazoa; Mollusca; Gastropoda; Lepetellida; Haliotidae. The record is from RefSeq and is a predicted model, not a curated record.
GCCUCCCCGUCGUCGUCGUCCUUCUCCCUCAAGGAUAGAAACCAAGGAAAAUCAAGCAGAGGAACAGAGGAAAGAAACACAAGCAAAGAAAACUCCAACAGAGGAAGAAAGGAAAGAAACACAAGCAAAGAAAACUCCAACAGAGGAAGAAAGG